Non-coding RNA from Vicia faba (fava bean), 370 nucleotides. The record is from the annotation of a GenBank genome assembly. NCBI's taxonomy places the organism in Eukaryota, Viridiplantae, Streptophyta, Magnoliopsida, Fabales, Fabaceae.
UCAAACAAUUAUUAGUAAUCUAGCGGUGCAAUCCAAUUUGUGUUCGAAACGCGCUGAAAACAUUUCAACUCCAAAACGCAUCGUUUCGUCUCUUCAAACCAAAUCUCGAAGAAACAGAGUCUCUGUUCUAUCUUCGUCUUCAUCACCAUUUUCUCCAACAAAAAAAAAAAAGAGACAAUCUCAUCGUUCGUUAAUCCCAAUCCAUUUUUCCAAACUUUCUAAAUCAAAUAUCAUCGUAAAAUUAAUCUCCGUAGAAAAUGAAAUAAUUUUUUUUUUUUUUGGGAUUUUGGGUUCGAAGAAAGUGGUGAUUUUUGGUUUUGGGUUUGAAGAAAGUUUUGAUUUUUGGUUUUGGGUUUGGAAAAAGUUGUGA